Molecule: long non-coding RNA, 1537 nt
Organism: Cloeon dipterum
Lineage: Eukaryota; Metazoa; Arthropoda; Insecta; Ephemeroptera; Baetidae
Exons: 2
Source: RefSeq, a predicted model, not a curated record
AUGAGAGUGUAUUUUUCAUGGUAAUUUUCAUAAUUAAAAAGUAUUCAAAAUAUUUGUCUCGCCAUUUUGGAGAGCAAACUAAACAUUAAUCAAUUUUAAAUAACAUUAUAAUACAUAUUAUGGAAAAGUCACAGUUUUUGCCGCCGAGUUACAGUUUUCGCCACGCCUACGCCUACUUUAACAUGGAAUUCUCAUAAGAACUGCCCUAUGAGCAAUGAAAAUUUUUUAAAUAUUGCUCUUUUUUGGUAAUAUUUAAAAACAUUUUCCAAAUGUUAUUUAAAGAUAUUAUUUUUAGUAAUAUUGUUGUAAUAUUACUACAGUCCUAUGACAAUAUUAAGAAAUAUGUUUUUUAAAUAUUAAAAACGAAAUAUUUAACAAAUAUUUAAAAAUGUUUGUUUAUUAUUUCUAUUGCCAAUAAUAUAAAAAAAUAUUUGGCAAUGUUUGUUUAAUAUUUCUAUUGCCAAUAUUUAUAAUACUAUUUCUGAAUAUUGGUAAAACUUAAAAAUAAAAUAAUAAACAAUGCGAACGCCAACAAUGAUAUUUUUAUAUUCUUUUCAAACUUUUGGUGCGUUGUCGAUUGUUGUCGAUCGACUCGAUUGUUUUCGAUCGACUCGAUUGUUUUCGAUCGACGCCAUGAUUUUUUUAAAUUCAAACAAUCGAGUCAAUCAACAUUCGAAUCGAUCGACUCGAUUGUUGUUGAUCGACUCGAUUGUUUGAAUUUAAAAAAAUCAUGGCGAAAAAGGGUGUGAGUAGAUCUGACUGCGAAUUGAAGGCAAGUUUUUUAGUUAUUGAGAGUGACGUACGUUACUGCCUGAAGCGCGCGUUCAUCGUAAAUCGCAUUGGGUCCGGCGUCCGGUGAAUUCUCGGAAAUAUUGGAAACUUGUGGCAAGUGGCUUAUCGUUUAAUUUUUAGUCGAAGAUUCGCUUGAAUUGGUGGAUGCGGAGAAUGAUUGAAAGAAGACAGCAAUUUAUCAGCGCUGCAAGAAUUCCAUUCGCGUCGGUUUUCGUUAAUUAAUUUUUAAUUGUAGAUAUGGAAAAGUUACAUUUUCUGCCGGGUUACAAAUCUCGCCAUUUUUUAUGAGAAUUCCAUGUUAAAGUAGGCGUGGCGAAAACUGUAACUCGGCGGCGAAAACUGUGACUUUUCCAUAAUAUGUAUUAUAAUGUUAUUUAAACUUGAUUAAUGUUUAGUUUGCUCUCCAAAAUGGCGAGACAAAUAAUGUGCAUAUCUUUUUAAUUAUGAAAAUUACUAUGAAAAUACACUCUCAUUAUGCAAAAACAUUCAUCGAAUAUUAUUUUAAAAUAUUGCCCCAAUAUAAAGAGCAUAAAAAAUAUUCGCAAAAUAUUAUUAAAAUGACCUCGGAAAUAUUGGUGAAAUCUUAAAAUAACAUUUUCCAAACAUUGCUCAGUAUUAAAAAUAAAUAUUACCUUUAAAUGUUCCAUAAAUAAUUACCGAAGAUAAAAAGCGUGUCAAAUAUUAUUCACUGAAUAUUAAAAAUAAAUUUAACCAAAAUGUUCUAGGAACAUUCAGCAAUAUUCUA